UUUGGGGUUUUUUGUUUUGUUUUUUGACCAGUGGAUGGUUCUUCAUUUCCUUCUUGGCAUUUCACAAAGAACCUGAUCUAAAAGAAGCCCCCUCAGAAGCUGAAGUUGCUGUGCUGCAGUUUCUUCCUGCUUUUUCCUGAAGAACUGGAUCUAAGAGUAUCACUUUCACAAGUAAAACCUUUCAAAUAAGUGGGAAGGAGGUUCAGAAAGGAUGGAAAUGGCAGCACAGGAAGCUCUCUGAAGAAGGAAUCAAAAGACUGUCCUGAUUUCUCCACUGCCUUUUAACCUCAGGCUUACAGAGAAAUGGAACCACAGAUACAGAUCCUGCAGAUAUGAGGGGCUACUGUAAUAAAAAUGGACCACGCUGCAACUAGCAAACAUGGAGUUGCCACAGUCAUUACUAUGAAGACAAAAUGAUGGAGACUGCAAUAGCAGAGAACAACCCUGUCAGGAAAGGGUUCUUGACUUUUUGUAAGGAAAAAAACCAAUACUUUUUCUAUUCUGGACAGAGAAUUCUGAGGGACAGUACUUGUAAAAAACAAAACAAAAGACCUCCAACAAAGCAGGAAUAACAACAACAGCCUCUUCAGCUAGUUACUCUAUCCUCAAAGUGUGUCUAGAGCUUGUCUUGAUAAACAACAGUCAGCUUGUUUUUAAGUUGCCAGAAACAUUUUAUAGCAUGCCACAGCUUGUUUUGCAAAAAGGCUUGUUUUUCUAAUGAGGUCUGCACAUGGAGAGCCUAGCCAUUAAUUUGUUUUGCCCAGUUUGCAGAUAGGCCACACCUUCUGCAGGAAGGACCAAGACACCAUUAAACAAAGUUGAGUGAGCAGCUAAUUGGAAAAUGUUCAUAUGCAGGAUUAUUUAAUUACAGGUGAAACUG
Molecule: non-coding RNA, 880 nt
Organism: Pogona vitticeps (central bearded dragon)
Lineage: Eukaryota; Metazoa; Chordata; Lepidosauria; Squamata; Agamidae
Source: RefSeq, a predicted model, not a curated record